Molecule: long non-coding RNA, 389 nt
Organism: Mastomys coucha (southern multimammate mouse)
Lineage: Eukaryota; Metazoa; Chordata; Mammalia; Rodentia; Muridae
Exons: 2
Source: RefSeq, a predicted model, not a curated record
CCCAUGCUUUUUAUGGCAACCUCUUGACUUCAGGUUCUUUCUUACCCUACGCCUCAAUGUUUCCAGUACAGAGGAAGGUCUCCACCAGGAAGGGGUCUGGAACAAGCAUCCAGGCAGAAGAUCUGCUUAGAAGGCAUGUCCUUUCAUGACAUAAGCUGACAUGAGAAGUUGGUCUCUGUGCAAGGAGAAUCCAGGAGCAGAAACUCUUCGUGAUUGCAUAAGACACAACAUCUGUGCAGUCAGCUAUCCAGCCUGGAUCUGUACAGAUCACAGAAUUCGUCUCUGGAGCUGACCACCUAAGCAGCUAUGGGCAAAGCAGCAACAAUUGGAAGUACCCAGUGUCCUGAUGGACUUAGUAUAGAUUCGUUUCUUUGCCUGUCCCCUUCAUA